This 440-nucleotide ribosomal RNA is filed under the name uncultured bacterium. RNAcentral describes it as "partial 16S ribosomal RNA". It matches the Rfam family "Bacterial small subunit ribosomal RNA", at positions 338 to 795 of the family's 1533-position model. The record is from RNAcentral.
CCUACGGGUGGCAGCAGUGGGGAAUAUUGCACAAUGGGGGAAACCCUGAUGCAGCAACGCCGCGUGAGUGAAGAAGUAUUUCGGUAUGUAAAGCUCUAUCAGCAGGGAAGAAAAUGACGGUACCUGAGUAAGAAGCCCCGGCUAACUACGUGCCAGCAGCCGCGGUAAUACGUAGGGGGCAAGCGUUAUCCGGAUUUACUGGGUGUAAAGGGAGCGUAGACGGCGAUACAAGUCUGAAGUGAAAGCCCGGGGCUCAACCCCGGGACUGCUUUGGAAACUGUGUUGCUGGAGUGCUGGAGAGGCAAGCGGAAUUUCUAGUGUAGCGGUGAAAUGCGUAGAUAUUAGGAAGAACACCAGUGGCGAAGGCGACUUACUGGACUGUAACUGACGCUGAGGCAUGAGAGCAUGGGGAGCAAACAGGAUUAGAUACCCCAGUAGUC